GCCUGGGUGGCUCAGUCGGUUAAGUGUCCGACUUCGGCUCAGGUCACAAUCUCACGGUCCGUGGGUUCGAGCCCCGCUUCGGGCU
RNAcentral lists this transfer RNA (85 nucleotides) under Felis catus (domestic cat). It matches the Rfam family "tRNA". From Rfam's summary of the family: Transfer RNA (tRNA) molecules are approximately 80 nucleotides in length. Lineage: Eukaryota; Metazoa; Chordata; Mammalia; Carnivora; Felidae. The record is from Rfam by way of RNAcentral.